Molecule: non-coding RNA, 99 nt
Filed under: Hyphomonas neptunium
Lineage: Bacteria; Pseudomonadati; Pseudomonadota; Alphaproteobacteria; Hyphomonadales; Hyphomonadaceae
Also listed under: 1 other name
Description: TPP sequence
Rfam family: TPP riboswitch aptamer (THI element)
About the family: Vitamin B(1) in its active form thiamin pyrophosphate (TPP) is an essential coenzyme that is synthesised by coupling of pyrimidine and thiazole moieties in bacteria. The previously detected thiamin-regulatory element, thi box was extended, resulting in a new, highly conserved RNA secondary structure, the THI element, which is widely distributed in eubacteria and also occurs in some archaea.
Source: RNAcentral
CGCAUAUCCGAGGGGUGUCCGGCAUGGGGCCGGGCUGAGAGUUACCCUUUGAACCUGAUCCGGGUCAUGCCGGCGCGAGGGACGGAGAAUAACUAUGGC